This 679-nucleotide ribosomal RNA is filed under the name uncultured bacterium. Its description in RNAcentral is "bacterial SSU rRNA". It matches the Rfam family "Bacterial small subunit ribosomal RNA", at positions 91 to 786 of the family's 1533-position model. The record is from RNAcentral.
CUGAGUGGCGGACGGGUGAGUAACGCGUGGGUAACCUGCCUUGUACAGGGGGAUAACAGUUGGAAACGGCUGCUAAUACCGCAUAAGCCCACGGUGCCGCAUGACACUGAGGGAAAAGGAUUUAUUCGCUUUAGGAUGGACUCGCGUCCAAUUAGCUAGUUGGUGAGGUAACGGCCCACCAAGGCGACGAUUGGUAGCCGGACUGAGAGGUUGAACGGCCACAUUGGGACUGAGACACGGCCCAGACUCCUACGGGAGGCAGCAGUGGGGGAUAUUGCACAAUGGGGGAAACCCUGAUGCAGCGACGCCGCGUGGAGGAAGAAGGUUUUCGGAUUGUAAACUCCUGUCGUUAGGGACGAUAAUGACGGUACCUAACAAGAAAGCACCGGCUAACUACGUGCCAGCAGCCGCGGUAAAACGUAGGGUGCAAGCGUUGUCCGGAAUUACUGGGUGUAAAGGGAGCGCAGGCGGACCGGCAAGUUGGAAGUGAAAUCCAUGGGCUCAACCUGUGGACUGCAUUGGAAACUGUCAUACUUGAGUGCCGGAGGGGUAAGCGGAAUUCCUAGUGUAGCGGUGAAAUGCGUAGAUAUUAGGAGGAACACCAGUGGCGAAGGCGGCUUACUGGACGGUAACUGACGUUGAGGCUCGAAAGCGUGGGGAGCAAACAGGAUUAGAUACC